This 630-nucleotide ribosomal RNA is filed under the name uncultured bacterium. RNAcentral's name for it is "bacterial SSU rRNA". The stretch from base 1 to 540 matches the Rfam family "Bacterial small subunit ribosomal RNA", at positions 338 to 873 of the family's 1533-position model. The record is from RNAcentral.
CCUACGGGAGGCAGCAGUGGGGAAUUUUGGACAAUGGGCGAAAGCCUGAUCCAGCAAUGCCGCGUGAGUGAAGAAGGCCUUCGGGUUGUAAAGCUCUUUUGUCAGGGAAGAAACGGUGCGGGCUAAUAUCCCGCACUAAUGACGGUACCUGAAGAAUAAGCACCGGCUAACUACGUGCCAGCAGCCGCGGUAAUACGUAGGGUGCAAGCGUUAAUCGGAAUUACUGGGCGUAAAGCGUGCGCAGGCGGUUUUGUAAGUUUGUCGUGAAAGCCCCGGGCUCAACCUGGGAAUUGCGAUGAAGACUGCAAGGCUUGAAUCUGGCAGAGGGGGGUAGAAUUCCACGUGUAGCAGUGAAAUGCGUAGAGAUGUGGAGGAACACCGAUGGCGAAGGCAGCCCCCUGGGUCAAGAUUGACGCUCAUGCACGAAAGCGUGGGGAGCAAACAGGAUUAGAUACCCUGGUAGUCCACGCCCUAAACGAUGUCUACUAGUUGUUACGGUUUUAAUUACGUUGUACGNAGCUACGCGUGAAGUAGACCGCCGUGGGGAGUCGGUCGCGAAGUAAUUAAACCGUCGAAAGUUAGUAGUUACGGCGUGNGAGCGCGACGGACGACGACGACGGAGGGAGGAGG